AACAUCGCGCACCUGCGGGAACCUGCGGAAGGAUCAUUACCGAGUUUACAACUCCCAAACCCCUGUGAACAUACCACUCGUUGCCUCGGCGGAUCACCGCGCCCCGUGAAACGGGCCGGCCCGCCAGAGGACCUAAACUCAAAUGUUUUAUUGUAUCUUCUGAGUAAAAACACAAAUAAAUCAAAACUUUUAACAACGGAUCU
RNAcentral lists this unclassified non-coding RNA (203 nucleotides) under soil metagenome. RNAcentral's name for it is "partial contains 5.8S ribosomal RNA, internal transcribed spacer 2, and large subunit ribosomal RNA". The record is from RNAcentral.